Molecule: non-coding RNA, 593 nt
Organism: Labrus bergylta (ballan wrasse)
Lineage: Eukaryota; Metazoa; Chordata; Actinopteri; Labriformes; Labridae
Source: RefSeq, a predicted model, not a curated record
UGUACAUAAAGCGGAGGGAGGGAGGAGCGAGCGUGUAGUAUUUCUUUUUCGGUUCUUUCCCUCCUGUCGCUGCAGCCCGUCCAAACGCUCCUGUAGGCUAAAGGAAAGGCAGCAAGGAAAAAAGAAGAAGGGGACGCAAACUAUUAUUCCCACGUUUGAGCUUUGCAAGAAGGAGGACGAGGAGCUGCGAGAGAAGGCAGAGGAGGAGGGAGAUAAUUUUGACAGUGCGAGGCGGAGCAGCGUUAGCGGAGGAGCCCGGCUCGGAGUGAGUGUGAGAGGGGGGGGAACGUGGAACCACUCAGCGCCGCUUCACUCGUGCAGAAACCCGGAGGAGCCCCGCUGACUUUCUCCCGCUUCAUUACCGCCCUCAUAACCAAAAAACCCGGGGCUGGUUGUCCACGCUGCGUGGGGGGGUGAACCGCCGAUUUCUGUGAGAUCUACACCGAGGUGAACGCCUGCAUCAAAUGUCAAGAACCUCUGAGGUGAAGAUAACCAAAGUGACUCCUAAGGGCGGAGACGAGGCGGACCACACAACGCAGGAGGCCUUGGGAAAUCAUUAACGGCACACAGACACAUGCAACAUGACUGGUAGG